AUGCAGAUGAAGCAGAAGGUCUACGAGCUCUACAAGGGGACGGUGGAGCGGGUCACGGGCCCGCGCACCGUCUCGGCGUUCCUCGAGAAGGGCGUCCUCUCCGUCCCCGAGUUCAUCCUCGCCGGCGACAACCUCGUAUCCAAGUGCCCAACCUGGUCCUGGGAGGCGGGCGAUCCGAGCAAGAGGAAGCCAUACCUCCCCUCCGAUAAGCAGUUCCUCGUCACCAGGAACGUGCCCUGCCUAAGACGAGCUGUGGCGGUCGAGGAAGAGUAUGAUGCAGCGGGAGCUGAGGUUGUUCUCGAUGAUGAUGAGGAUGGCGAAGGCUGGCUCGCAACACAUGGGCUGCAAGCAUCAGAGUCAAAAGAGGAGGAAGACAUACCGUCUAUGGAUACAUUGGACAUAGGGAAAGUCGAAGAGAUCAAAUCUAUCCCCUCCUACUUUGGUGCUAGUGAAAAGCCAGAUGAGGAGGAGGAUAUACCUGACAUGGACACCUAUGAAGACACAGGAGAUCAUUCUACAGCUACCCCUCAGCCUUCAUAUUUUGUCGCAGAAGAGCCUGAUGAUGACAACAUUCUUCUCACCAGAACAUAUGAUGUUAGCAUCACAUAUGACAAGUACUACCAAACUCCACGUGUCUGGCUUACAGGCUAUGAUGAGGCAAGAAUGCCAUUAAAGCCUGAACUUGUGUUUCAAGAUAUCAGUCAAGACCAUGCACACAAAACGGUGACUAUCGAAGACCAUCCUCACUUGUUAGUGGGACAGCACGCUUCCGUGCAUCCUUGCAAGCACGCUGCUGUGAUGAAAAAGAUCAUUGAUGUUAUAGUGUCUCAAGGAGGUGCACCAGAAGUUGACAAGUACCUUUUCAUAUUUCUCAAAUUCAUGGCUUCUGUCAUACCCACCAUUGAGUAUGAUUACACUAUGGAUUUCGAUCUGGGCAGUACAAGCACAUAA
Molecule: ribosomal RNA, 951 nt
Filed under: Triticum aestivum (bread wheat)
Lineage: Eukaryota; Viridiplantae; Streptophyta; Magnoliopsida; Poales; Poaceae
Description: partial small subunit ribosomal RNA
Source: RNAcentral